RNAcentral lists this ribosomal RNA (187 nucleotides) under uncultured freshwater bacterium. Its description in RNAcentral is "partial 16S ribosomal RNA". It matches the Rfam family "Bacterial small subunit ribosomal RNA", at positions 338 to 520 of the family's 1533-position model. The record is from RNAcentral.
CCUACGGGAGGCAGCAGUGGGGAAUAUUGGACAAUGGGCGAAAGCCUGAUCCAGCCAUGCCGCGUGUGUGAAGAAGGUCUUCGGAUUGUAAAGCACUUUAAGUUGGGAGGAAGGGUAGUAACUUAAUACGUUGCUACUUUGACGUUACCGACAGAAUAAGCACCGGCUAACUCUCCAGACGCCCCCC